Molecule: long non-coding RNA, 967 nt
Organism: Alosa sapidissima (American shad)
Lineage: Eukaryota; Metazoa; Chordata; Actinopteri; Clupeiformes; Clupeidae
Exons: 3
Source: RefSeq, a predicted model, not a curated record
ACUAACAUGGUUGCAACUAUGUAAGUACGACACAACUGUUCCCCAAAACGAUAGUGUGAACUAUGGUGGUGGAACUUACAUAGUACGAUGCAUCGUGACACUGCGUCAGUGUUUCCCAAAACCAUAGUAGCAACUAACGUUCGCAACCACUAUCGUAAAGUUGUGUAGUUACAGCUACACCUCUCGACCUGUAGUAUGUAGUAAGAACCAUAGUAGACGACGUAACCCUGAUGACGGAACACGCAGAGGACAGAUGGAUGAGAGGUAGCCAUUAAACGAUCCCAUAACAUUGCUGUGGGAUACCAUACCAUAGCAUUGCUGGAAUCUACAAUUGCACAUUACUGUGGUACAGUGGAAAGUGAAGUGUUAUGGAGUUAGCCUACAACAGAGCGGCCUGUGGUGAAGUGCUAUGGUAUGGGUAGGCCUGUCAUGGGAGGCGGAAAAAUGGCCAGCAGGAAGGUGUGCAGCAGCCACUGGAAUGACCUCUUCCACCUCCUCCACUAACAGCUCCUCAUCAGCCGGCAGUGGGAUGUGAUCCUGAAGGCCAUGUUGCAGAAGCGCCGCCACCAAAACUACACUGCACGCCUUUGCAGGAUGGAGCUUCAGGCCACCAGCGGAUUUGCUCACACACCUUUCCACAUGCCCAAGGCCCUCUCCACAACAACGCGGGUCCGGCUAUGGGCGUUGUUGUACCGCGCCUCUGCCUCGCUGUUGGGCUCCUAGAUGGAGCAGUUGACAUGCUUGUAUUAUCAUAGGGGGUUGAUGGAAUAAAGUAGGUCUUGAAAUGUCAGUGCACUCACAGGGAAUAUAGACAUGCAUUUGAAAACAACAGUAUAGACUUUGCUACUAUCUCAGCAGCAGAAGGCAACAACAUGAGCAGCACCUACAGUAACACUGUGUGUGUGUGUGUGUGUGUAUGUUGGUACAGCUGGCGCAGAUCCUUCAACCAUUUGAGCAUUGAAACAUU